GAGUUUGAUCCUGGCUCAGGAUAAACGCUGGCGGCGUGCCUAACACAUGCAAGUCGAACGCUCUCACGCAAGUGAGGGAGUGGCGGACGGGUGAGUAACACAUGGGAAUCGACCCACACGUGAGGAAUACCACCGGGAAACCGGUGACAAUACCGCAUACGCUUCGUAAGAAGGAAAGCUCUUCGCAAGAGGGGCGCGCGUGGACGAGCCUGUGCCUGAUUAGUUAGUUGGUGGGGUAAAAGCCUACCAAGACUGCGAUCAGUCGCUGGUCUGAGAGGAUGAUCAGCCACACUGGGAUUGAGAACGGCCCAGACUCCUACGGGGGGCAGCAGUGAGGAAUAUUCGGCAAUGGGGGAAACCCUGACCGAGCAACGCCGCGUGCAGGAAGACGGCCUUCGGGUUGUAAACUGCUUUUCUGGGGGAUGAGAACGGACAGUACCCCAGGAAGAAGCUCCGGCUAACUACGUGCCAGCAGCCGCGGUAAUACGUAGGGAGCGAGCGUUGUCCGGAGUUACUGGGCGUAAAGCGCACGCAGGCGGUCUGUCGCGUUCGUGCCGACAGCGACUCGCCUAACGAGUCGAGGAGUACGGAAACGGGCAGACUUGAGGGCCAGAGAGGGACACGGAACUCCGGGUGGAGUGGUGAAAUGCGUAGAGAUCCGGAAGAACACCAAAGGCGAAGGCAGUGUCCUGGUUGGUACCUGACGCUCAGAGGCGACAGCUAGGGGAGCGAACGGGAUUAGAUACCCCGGUAGUCCUAGCCGUAAACGAUGACCACGAGAUGUCCGGGGGAUCGACCCCCUGGGUGUCGAAGCAAACGCAGUCAGUGGUCCGCCUGGGGAGUACGGUCGCAAGAUUAAAACUCAAAGGAAUUGACGGGGACCCGCACAAGCAGCGGAGCGUGUGGUUUAAUUCGAUGCAACGCGAAGCACCUUACCAGGGUUUGACAUGUCUUCGCACCACCAGGAGACUGGUGUACCCGCAAGGGACGGAGACACAGGUGCUGCAUGGCUGUCGUCAGCUCGUGCCGUGAGGUGUUGGGUUAAGUCCCGCAACGAGCGCAACCCUCAUUGCUAGUUGAAUUUCUCUAGCGAGACUGCCACGAUCAACGUGGAGGAAGGUGGGGAUGACGUCAAGUCAGCACGGCCCUUACAUCCUGGGCGACACACACGCUACAAUGGUCGAGACAAUGAGUUGCCAACCCGCGAGGGGGAGCUAAUCUCAGCAAACUCGGUCUCAGUUCAGAUUGCAGGCUGCAACCCGCCUGCAUGAAGUCGGAGUUGCUAGUAACCGUGAGUCAGCACAUCACGGUGAAUACGUUCCCGGGUCUUGUACACACCGCCCGUCACACCACGAAAGUCGGCAACCCCUGAAGCCGCUGGGCUAACCCGCAAGGGAGGCAAGCGUCGAGGGUGGGGUCGGUGAUUGGGGUGAAGUCGUAACAAGGUAGC
This 1450-nucleotide ribosomal RNA is filed under the name uncultured Thermosporothrix sp. Its description in RNAcentral is "bacterial SSU rRNA". It matches the Rfam family "Bacterial small subunit ribosomal RNA". The record is from RNAcentral. Lineage: Bacteria; Bacillati; Chloroflexota; Ktedonobacteria; Ktedonobacterales; Thermosporotrichaceae.